GCCGAUAAACCCUACCCAUCCUGCUAACGAGAGGUGGACUACAGGGGACCAACGUAACUGUCACCUACGCGGCCUACCACAUGAUCCAGCUAGUCAGGGGAUAUCCACAAGUAAUCUAGGUCUAAGCACCACGCUUACACCUAUACUACAACUCUAACCUAUAGGGUCCUAUAGAUUAGAAGUACUCAAAAGAGUUGUGAACCAGAACAUACAUGAUUAGUAAUUGCAUAAUGAAUUAGAAGUAGAUUACCAGAGUCAUCCCAUGAGCAAGCUUGAUUAGAGCUUGAUCAUGGCGAAGUACAACCGGAGGAAGAACCGACAGGCCGGCCUCUCCUCUAAUCCUCCUUCGCUCUCCAUCUCGCUACUAUCUAGAUCUACUCUAGUUUAGAGAAGAGAGGAGAGCUCUCAUCUCUAAACCCUAGCUUUUGCUCUGUCUAUGAAUAAUGAAUAAUGAUCAAGGGGGUGCCUCCUCCAGGGGUCAGGGGGUCUGGUUUUAUAGUCCCCUCAAGUGAACCUGGGCCGUCGGAUCAAACCGACAUUGAUUGAACGGUUAUUCUUGAUCCUUUAGGUCGGUGGAGCAUAAUCCGCGAGGUUGAACGUGAUUGGCCACUGUAGCAGGGCGGGCGCCCUAAGGACUUGGGCGGGCGCCCAGGUCCUGGGCCCGAUCGGCCUCCCGUUCGUUCCCGUGGCUUCUGGAGUCUUCUAGAUGUAAGAUAAUUGCGCGGCAUGUUGAUAUCUCUAUGUAAUCCCAACGUGUGGGCCUUUCUUCCUUAUUUCCUGAUAACCCCCUGCAGAAAUAGACAAACACCAAAACUCGUGGAAUUCUGUCAGAUAAAACCCUAAGUCUUGAUGUUGAUUUCAUUUGGAUCCUUUUCUUUGUUUAUUUAAUAGUUAAAUUUGAUACUUAAGGACCAUCAACAAACUCCCCCAAGCUUACCUCUUGCUCGUCCCUGAGUAAGGAUAGACUCAGCUAUGGAUCAUAAGUUGUUGCAAUAUCUUUAAAAAUUGACGGUACACAUGCUUUUAAAACUAUCAAGACUUAAAACUUACUUACUUUACCUUUCACCAUGGGACUUGUAAUCGUCACUUCUGUCUUGAGUGGUUAAAAGAUAGAACAGUCCCGUCAAGUGCCAUGUCUCUUAUUCUUGAUCAGCUAUAGCUCUGGAGUUUUUGCAGAUUUUCAAAUAAAACUCAGAGAUUCCUUUGUAUGACUAUCUCAUAUCUCUCUUUUGUGGUAUUUCUGGAUCCUUACCAAGGCAGUGAUGGUCAUACAUACCUUCCUUGCUUUUUGAAACUUUAUGAGGAGAAUGAGAUGCUCUUCUUUUUCUUUCCUCUCAGGUGGGUAUCUUGUACCCCUAAUUCUACUGUCGGACACUUGUCUAUUUUUACCUCUCGUCUCACUUUUUCUUUCUUUCGAGGUUCCGGGCACUUGCCCCUUUUUAUUUCCUUGUUUAUUAUUAUUAUUAUUAUUAUUUCUUUUCUUCUCUUUUCUUUUUUUUCAGAGCACUCAUCUCCUGAAAUAAUGUAGCAAGUGGUAGUAACCAAAAUAACUGGAGCAUUUAUUUCACAUGGAAUAACAUGGAUAGGAAAAUGUUUUUGGCUAUUCUCUUCUGGAUUAGGAGUAGAAUGAUUUUGGGUGAAACUGGAGAUGGAAAUGGAUGGAUAUAUAUGGAUGGUACUUCCAGAGUAGAAGUAGCAUAUAUGAGUGAACGUGCAAGUGAAUCUUGAUUUAACCACAUGACAAGCUCCUAAGGGUCUACACAGCUUGACCACACUCAAUGCUCAUAAGCAGUAAAUAAUAAAUGUGUGGCUCAAAGUCUAGCAAGCAUGUAUAUAUGGCUGUGGUAGGAAUUUAAACUCUCAUCAUACAGGAACUCAUCAUGCAAUAUUUUAAAGAUUUUUCAAAGAUAAAAUUCUCCAGAAUUCUAGCAUCUCUAGGAGCAGAUAAACAGCAGCUCAACCUUCCCAUAUCAUAUCCGUUAACAACUUAGAUUUCAGAUCAAGUUUUCAUCCCACAAGUUUAGAUCUAGAGCAAGCUUUAAAUUAUAACAGUUAUGUCUAAACUUGAGAGAGAACUUCAAAUUUGUAAAUUAGGCAGAGCAACUAUUCAUCAUAUCCAUGCUAGAGUUUUAUUAUUAAGAUUCAUAGCAAACUUUAUUUAUUUAUUUAUUUAUUUAUUUAUUUAUUUAUUUAUUUAGCAAACUAAGAAAAGAUAUAUAUAUAUAAGCAUAAAAUCUUUAUUUGGUUUUUCAUAGUUUAUGUAUUUUAAUAUUCUAAUAUAAUAUAAGUAUAAAGAUAGGUAGAAAUACUUAGCGAGAUAAAUAGGGGUGCUCUCCCCCAAGCUGAAUUUUGACGUAAUUUCUCUUGAUGUAGCUAGCAGGUGGCAGAGGUGUAUUUGAAAGUCAGCAGCAUUCUGACAGCGAUUAGAAUGUCCUCCGUCUGCUAGUCUUCUUGAUUCUUAAAUUCUGUGGAGCUCAAAUAGACAACAAAGCUUGUGGAACUAAUUAAGUGUUAGCAUAAAUGUCAAGCCUUCAUCACGUUGAGCUUCCUCAAUAAAUAUUACUCCCUGUUUUUAUAUUUUUAUUUUAUAAAGUAAAAAAAAGAAAUAUUUAUUUUAUUUUUAUGCCACCACAGUGAAGGUACUUAUGGGUUUUAUGCCACUCGUAUACUCACAUGGGGCUUAGUAUUUUUUUAACAUUUUUAUUUUCUUUUCAAGAUAGCAUGAUUAACUAAUAAUCUAUUUAAGACAAGUAAAUAAUUAAAGGGAAAAGGGAAUGCAGAAAGGAUAAAUAUGGAUAACUACCAAUCUUACCUUUCGGCGAGGGUUCAAUGUUUUAAGGCUUCUUGACAAGACUUCUCACCGUGUUCAUUCUUCAGGUGCGUCAUUUGAUUCAGGUGCGGACCUUGACGUCUGCACCUUUUAAUACGGUGUCACCCAUGUUCUUCGUUUGCCCAGCAGUUCGAAGUGAGGUGUUAGCAGUAUCUUGCUCAGUGUGUUUGUGCUCGUAGUGUACCUGCUCAUAGAGACAAGGCAGAGAUCAAGUGCAUGGGCCCUGUUUGUGGAAAACACCAACAGAACCAAAAGUGUAUUUGUUCUUCUCUAACCUUAAGCAUAGUGAGCAAGACAAAGUUGAUGGAUGAUAAGUUCAUGAGUGUAGCACUUAUAACAUUUGUCAGAUCAGAUCGCUCAACCUUAUGGAAAGAUAAUCUAUCUAUGUAUAUGUCUUUUUCUUUAUAUCUCUCAAUGAUUGAAUGUGUAACAUUUUAGCUCAUAUGAUUAGGAGUGUGGGAUCAUGGUGGUAGUACUAAGAACAAGGAUUAAAGGACUAAACAUGUUGAAUCAGUUUGGUUGGUUAAUCUAGAGUUGUAAAUCAUACACGUUUGUCUCUUUUAUUUAUAUGAACGCCAGAACCAAGGAGAAGCUUAUAAAAGUGAUAGUCAAGUACCUUAGGAUGUUACCUUGCUUGAAAAGUGAUCGUACAGUAUCACCUUGUGGAAGCAUUCCUUUCUUAGCGGUUGUGCAUCGUGUUCGUGGCACCCUCCAUGGAUCAUCUCUCUAUGAUGAAUGAGCUAUGUCCUUCUUGUGCAAAUUGUUAAACUUCAUGUGUCACUCUCUUCGUCUCUGAUGUGAGUUUAUCUCAGGACUUCCCAAAUCGAUAUUGAAAGUUUUUCUGCAGGGGUUAGUCCGACAAAAUAUACCAAUAUCUACUCAAGCAGUUUUUUUUUAGUUCAAUAACCAAACUAGACUCCAUGUCUAAUCAAAUUAAGGAAGGCUAUUUAACCUAAGCACCAUGCUUAAUUUAAAUGCCAAUGGAAGUAUGGCGAGUACUUCCAAACCAACACUUGCUAGUAAAUAGACAAAGGUAGCAUGACAGCAUUUAUAGAGAUCUACUCAAGUGGAGAUGAAGUAGUGUGAUUAGUAUUUAACAAAUUGAGCAUGUCUCAAAGGUAGGGACAACCAGCAUAGCAACAUGGCAAAGG
Molecule: long non-coding RNA, 3981 nt
Filed under: Sorghum bicolor (sorghum)
Lineage: Eukaryota; Viridiplantae; Streptophyta; Magnoliopsida; Poales; Poaceae
Description: long non-coding RNA (SBIC_LNC012213)
Source: RNAcentral